AUCUGGGACAAGCCCUGGAAACGGGGUCUAAUACCGGAUACUGACCGGCCUGGGCAUCCAGGCGGGUCGAAAGCUCCGGCGGUGAAGGAUGAGCCCGCGGCCUAUCAGCUUGUUGGUGAGGUAACGGCUCACCAAGGCGACGACGGGUAGCCGGCCUGAGAGGGCGACCGGCCACACUGGGACUGAGACACGGCCCAGACUCCUACGGGAGGCAGCAGUGGGGAAUAUUGCACAAUGGGCGAAAGCCUGAUGCAGCGACGCCGCGUGAGGGAUGACGGCCUUCGGGUUGUAAACCUCUUUCAGCAGGGAAGAAGCGAAAGUGACGGUACCUGCAGAAGAAGCGCCGGCUAACUACGUGCCAGCAGCCGCGGUAAUACGUAGGGCGCAAGCGUUGUCCGGAAUUAUUGGGCGUAAAGAGCUCGUAGGCGGCUUGUCACGUCGGUUGUGAAAGCCCGGGGCUUAACCCCGGGUCUGCAGUCGAUACGGGCAGGCUAGAGUUCGGUAGGGGAGAUCGGAAUUCCUGGUGUAGCGGUGAAAUGCGCAGAUAUCAGGAGGAACACCGGUGGCGAAGGCGGAUCUCUGGGCCGAUACUGACGCUGAGGAGCGAAAGCGUGGGGAGCG
This 621-nucleotide ribosomal RNA is filed under the name Streptomyces sp. RNAcentral's name for it is "bacterial SSU rRNA". It matches the Rfam family "Bacterial small subunit ribosomal RNA", at positions 136 to 770 of the family's 1533-position model. The record is from RNAcentral. Lineage: Bacteria; Bacillati; Actinomycetota; Actinomycetes; Kitasatosporales; Streptomycetaceae.